Molecule: RNA transcript, 6117 nt
Organism: Patella vulgata (common limpet)
Lineage: Eukaryota; Metazoa; Mollusca; Gastropoda; Patellidae
Gene name: large neutral amino acids transporter small subunit 1
Exons: 5
Source: RefSeq, a predicted model, not a curated record
GUGAUUUCAAACGGGAGAGAGAGAGAGGGAGAGAGAGAAAUGGGGUUUAACGUCCACUCGACACAAAUUAGGUCAUUUCGGGACUAACAUGAUUUAAUUUUAUUUCAAUAAAUCGUUUGCGCGUAGGGGUCUUUAGCAGUGGGAGGAAACCGGAGAAAACCCACGAGGUUGGACAGGCGACCCUACUCCUUGUCACGUACAACCGGGGAUUCGAAACCACGCCAGUUGACUCAAUGACAGGCUGCGAAUCGUUUUAUCCAUCUCAUUCAAAAAAACUCCUGCAACUAUUGGGGUGACGUGCUGCACUAUGAUAAAAAUAAUGCUGUGAUUUUAAAGAAUGUGGCCCGAUUUGGUUUUUCUACAAUCACCUUCCCACCCUGUCUUCUGAUAUCUCUUUUAAACUAUCGCUCCAGUCAUCUAUAAAUAUUGGUGGGUGUCGUACACAUGGCAAUGAAUGCUUACUUGUUCGAUACCUCCCGACACCACUUUUUCUUCAAGGAAUUAACUUAGCUAACUCACUUUGGUCCUGCUAUUGUAAUUCUAGAUUUUUUAAUAUAAUACCAAAUAUAAUUCACUUGUGGGCACAAAAUGUUUCAUUAUUUUGAGAAAACAAAUAAUUAAUCAACGUUUUCCUACUAUCUUUUAUAUUUAUCAAAUCUGCUACUUAGGCCUAUAUAUGAUGUAAUGAGUACAGCUGUAUUUUUGUGACUUGUAGAAAGAGACUAGGACAAUAAGUCGACAUCUCGACGUUACGAUAAAAAUAACACGAUGAUACGACAGAAUGAAGUGUCGUAUGAUUGCGUCAAUACUGUCGUGAUGUCGUGUUGUCGCGUUAUGAAAAGGGCGAGAUUUAACAUGGCCACUAUCAGCCACCAUAAUUUCCCGGAACAAUCGGACCUGUCGGUGUGGCCGUCAUAUCCGAAUUAAAGCGCCCAAGAUGAAGGACAAUCGAAUAUCAUACAUCAACCGCAAAAAGUUCACAGGGUCGUACUCCAGGCUGUAUGUGAUCAUCGAAUUCGAUUCACUCAUGUUCACACCGACUGGUCUGGGUGUAUACACAUGACGCUUAUAACUAUUUUGCUGAAUAUUGUAAAUUUCCCGGAACAAUCGGACCUGUCGGUGUGGCCGUCAUAUCCGAAUUAAAGCGCCCAAGAUGAAGGACAAUCGAAUAUCAUACAUCAACCGCAAAAAGUUCACAGGGUCGUACUCCGGGCUGUAUGUGAUCAUCGAAUUCGAUUCACUCAUGUUCACACCGACUGGUCUGGGUGUAUACACAUGACGCUUAUAGGGUUUUGACGAAUUCUUGAAUUUCAGGAGGGAGAAUUCCUACUUGGGGACCCAGUCUGCCCUCUACAGCCAUGGCUUAUGACUUCACACAAUGAUUUGGGGAAAUUGACCCGUAAUCAAAAAAAAAAAAUAUUUAAUAAACAGCUCAUUUCUGCGAUAGAACGUGCCUUUGGGCAACUGAAAGGACGCUGAGUGUCCUUUUCUAACUCCUGGAAUCGUUGCACCAAGAUGUAGAAUAGAUGUAAAAUAAACACAACACUACUGUGGAAUGGAAAUAUGGCAUUUUUAAUCGGAGCAAAUUGUCAAGAAUAAUUCUUCCGUCGCCUAAACUUAAUCUGCAAAUAUAACUUCGAUCAAAAAAUUUAAUUGCUGCCAUGUUGAAUAAUUGGAUUAUGGGUUACUUCGGCCUGGCGCGAGUAAGCCGUUUAAAUGACGUCAUCGGUAACCCGAACGCACUCGUGGAGGCUCAUUCCAAAUUCCAAAUUCCAAAUGCGAAAUUCCAAAUUCAUGUAUUACCAAUCAAAUAGCAAAUUGGCAGCCCCCGUCAAUUAAACAAAUUAGAAUUUAAAUAAAUUGUAAUUUUACACAACUAAAUUACUAGAUUCGAAAUUUCAAAUGCGAAAUUCCAAAUUCGACAUAAUCACGUGACAGUACUAUCAUCAUGGCUGCUGUAGAGAAGAUAAUACGCCCACAGCAGCUAAAUCGUCCGGACAGUCAACAAGAGUUGUCGCAUAUUUUUUCUUUUUUCGGUAAUGAAACAUUUAUAAUACACUAAAAUCUGAUUAAGAGUAACAACUUAUUAACUUCAAUGAAAAUCAAUAUACUUGUUCGUCUCAAGACCUUGAACUCUGUGUAUCAAUCUGAAGUCAAGCGGGUGAUAACUUUAGCAUCUAGAGCGUCACAAGAUUUUUCAAAGUGACCAAGGGCCAUAACUUUGGCAGUAAUUAUCGGAAAUCGCUGAAAAUAAACAGGCUUCUUUGUCUCGUGACCUUAAACACUGUGUAUAAAUUUAAAGUCAAUCAAAUAUUAACUUUAGCCUCUAGAGCGUCCACAAGAUUUUUUGAAGUGAUCAAGGGCCAUAACUCUGGAAGUAAUUAUUGGGAAUCGGUGAAAAUCAUUAGGUUUCUUCGUCUCAUGACCUUUUAAACACUGUGUAUAAAUUUAAAGUCAAUCGGAUAUUAACUUUAGCCUCCUAGAGCGUCCAAAAGCAAUUGUGGGCGCUUGACGGACGGACGGACGGGGCGACGACAAUAUACGACCACAUUAUACGAUCGCAUUUGGAAUUUGGAAUGAGCCUUCUGGGCUUUCGUAGACCCACGCAUCCGAUAGGUAAACUGGCACUAAUUAGUUGUGUAAAAUUACAAUUUAUUUAAAUUCUAAUUUGUUUAAUUGAGGGGUUCUGCCAAUUUGCUAUUUUAUUGGUAAGACAUGAAUUUGGAAUUUAGCAUUUGGAAUUUGGAAUGAGCCUUCUGGGCUUUCGUAGGCAAACGUUCUAAUGCUGGUUAAAAGUAUACGGUGAAGUAAAUAGAGCGAGUGUUUAUCUUUUGAUAAUAUUCAAAGACGAGUUAUAGUGUAUAGUAUAGAAUUGAACUUGCUAUUGGUGUAUACAUCUACUAAUAUAUCAUGUGUGUAACCUGAGCAAGUCCUAAAACUCGCUAUAUUAUAUAGGCCUAGUAGGUUACAAGGCAUAGAGUUCGAACAUAAGUCAUAAGCCAUAGCGCUACAGAGAGCACGGCAGAUAUGGAAUUAACAGGCGAUGAGGAGAUUACUGUAACAAAAGUCAAACUAAAGCGGUCAAUUAAUUUUGCUUCAACAACUUCUAUAUUAUUAACGAAUAUUGGUGGUUCUGCUAUUUUCAUUUCACCAUCAGCCAUUCUGCAUUAUUCUGGUUCACCAAUAGUGGCACUUAUACUCUGGUUAAUAUCAGGAAUUUUGAAUGCAGGACUGGCUUUCUGCUUUGUAGAAAUAGGACUUUUAUUUCCAAAAGCUGGAGGUCCAUACUUUUACAUUUUAGAAGUCUUUGGUUCAUUGUAUGGCUUCAUUUUCCUGUGGGGAUUUGUUUCAUUAAUAUUUGCAUCAUCAUGGGCCAUAUCAUCUUACUCAGCAGCAAUUUAUUUAGUGACAGCUGUAAGUCCAAGUUGUCCAUAUCCAGAUUUAGCCGUGAAGAUUUUGGCAGGAUGGAUUAUAGUAACAUUAGUGGUUUUGAAUUGUACCUACAUGAAAUUGGUAACAAAAAUACAAGGUAUUUUAAGUAUGGCAAAGAUUUUAGCAUUGUUGUUAAUUAUUGUGACCGGGUUAUUACAGUUGUCAAAUUCAGAAAAAAAUAACUUGGUAACACUAAUAAAUAUAGAAGAUAGAUCUAUUGAUGUUGGGAGCUUAGCACUGGGAUUGUUUGCUGGUUUUUUCAAUUAUGGUGGUUGGUCAGGUUUUAUCAGGUAUUUGUUAGUAUUUCAUUCUGAGAAGCACUGGCUGUCUGGCUCACUAUGGUGUUGGCGAAAGUUCCUCUGGAUUUUCACCAUGGUUUCCCGUUGUCAGUGGUGCAGGAUGGAGGGUCCGGUAAGAACGGAGGCCAGUCAGUUGGAUAGAAAAAACAAAAAAACAAGGUCCUGUAAACCCUUUGGUGUACAGAAAAAAGAACCUAUGCCAGUUAGAAUUUGAUGAAGAGUAGGCAGAAUCACAGCCCUGGGAGAAAUUUCCCUCAUAGCACAUUGCAUGAUCUAUGCCUGUCUUCAUUUGCCCGGUUGGUGCAGAUGGUAGGACGUCAAACCUCAUCUCAUGGUUUUCCGAAAAAAAGUCAUCAAAGCUUCCUAUUCAUUCACUACAUGAAAAACAAGAUUUGAAAAAAAACCAAUCUGAUUGAAACACAGAUCCUAUUUUGUUUCGUUUUUUACAGUUCAAAAUUUCAUUUUACUUGUCUUUACUGCACUAGGAUCUGGAAGAGUUGUUAUAUAACCUGCUUUCUGGUUAAUGUGUGGGAUUAGCCAAUGAAACGGUCUGUUGCAGUGAGUUCUUGGCGUGUGAUGCACAGAACAGUUGCUGUGGGUAUCCUGCUGAUUGGUUAAUCAAAUGUCUGAUGCAAUGGGGUCAAAAGCCGCCCGUAUGACCCCUGAUGCAACCUCCCACUACAGCUGGUCAGAUUUUCAUGUAGUAGAGGCCAUCGAAAGUAUAAAAAAAUGAAAUGAAAUAUAGAUCUGUAUUUUAAACAGAUUGGCAAAAAACCUUUUUAAAGUGAAAAUUGCAUAUUUUUUAAUCACUACUAUACAAUCAUAGGGAUCGUUCUAGCACUUAAAAAAGCAUUCACAUAAAAAUUGGAAAUAAUUUCUACUUACUGACAGUAUUUGGAAUUUGUAUCAAUUCUUUUUACUGAACAACUAAAUCUACACAAGUUGACUCGAUUGGCAAGGUCCGUGGUUAAACAGAUAAGAAUAAUGAUGACUGGUUGAGCGAGACUUUUCAAACCUGCACACAUGAUAAUAACACUGUAAAGUCAAAGUUGGAUUUAAAAAGAAAAUGAUAUAUUUGCCAAUUUCUCGACUGACACAAAUGAAUUAUAGGAUUUAGAAUUAUUCGUUAACAGGGUAGGACUAUGUGUAUAAAUGCCAUGUAUUUUAAGGCUUUAUUUUAGCAUAUUUUAAACAUUUGACUUAAAAAAAAAUACAAUUCUCGCUUUAAAUUAUUUACAGUAUGAUAAUCACAAUGAACAUAAAAAAUUGUUAUUCCUGUGACAAAUUCAAAUAUACACCCAUCUACUGUGUUUUGGGCAAUAGCUAACAGUGAAUAUAGAUGUAACUCCUGCAAUGAUGUAACAAUGUUUAGAAGUGUGUAUAAUAAAGACCAGUAUACAUUAAUCAGCUGAGUAGAAUAUGUAGUGGGAGUUAUAUGUACCGGUAACUUUAAUUUAAAUAACCAAAUUAAGUUGCCAAUCGUUCAUAUAUUUAUUACCCGUACAGGCCUCCAUAAUUACCAACCUAUCACAGCAUCGCGUUCGGAUUACGCCGAAUCUCGCCUUCAUAUUCUGCUUCGCUUUCAGAAGUCGUUUGCUAGCGUCAGGACAACUGAAAAAAGGAGUUCAACCUCCUUCCUCCCCACCUCCAGCCUUUGUGAUAUUUAAUUAUGAAACUGACACAAGUUAUGGUAGCUAUCAGAUUUGAGAUAUCCCUAUGUUAUAAAUAUUCCAAUAUUGCCAAAGAUUUAAAUUGUUAUGAUUAUAAUUAGACCUUAAUAAAUGCUAAUGUUAAUAAUUUGAGUUUAUUUAAAUUGCCCAAUAACUCACAGUGAUUAUAACUAUCUGCAUAAAAAUAAACACUUGUCUAUAAUAUAAAAUUUGGGAUUCUUUCAGUUACCUUUGUUUUGGCCUUUGAAAACAAUAUGGUAACAAACCUGCCUUUUAAGACUAGAAUAUUAAAAUGGCUACAAAAUGUGCGAAGUAAGACUGUCGCUUUGUUACACUUUUUUUAUUGUUGCUUAUGUAAGGGAUAAGUAUUAGAAAAUAUUUGAGUAAGAACAAGAAAAACAUGAUGGCGAGUAAGGUAUUUGUCCAGAGAGUUUCCUAUAAACCCCUUGAAAAGCAUUGUUUAAUACCUUAGUAAUUAAGAAACCCACUCAUGGCUGCAGCUGUUUGAUGAAAGUAUAACAGAAAAAUAUGUAAAGAAAUUAUUUCGUUUUUAUUUAUCAUUAAAGGCAGGUUAUUACAAUUCUUAUGGAAGAAGUCCAAAACCCAUCAAAAACAUUACCCAAAUCAGUGUUUUUAUCAUUCAGCAUUAUGAUCUGUCUGUAUGUAUUAGCUAAUUUUAGUUAUGUAUUGCUACUCACACCUGCACAGAUGUUUUC